UUUUCUGUGCUUUUAACUUGUAAUAAUUGGUAGGAGCCCAGAUUCGUUCACCUAAUAAGGUGAACUAGAUCCACAUGAUUUAUGUUUUUGGUCUUUACUAAAGCUAUAUCUUUUGCUCAAACCAAAAUAAAACAAUGGGAGAGAAUAAAGAAAGCAGGAAAAAGAACAAAGCUUGAAACAAUGCAAUAUCAUACUUCGCCGUUCCAAUUCAAUAGGCAG
RNAcentral lists this long non-coding RNA (219 nucleotides) under Salvia miltiorrhiza (redroot sage). Its description in RNAcentral is "long non-coding RNA (SMIL_LNC012168)". Lineage: Eukaryota; Viridiplantae; Streptophyta; Magnoliopsida; Lamiales; Lamiaceae. The record is from RNAcentral.